Molecule: transfer RNA, 63 nt
Filed under: Heterodoxus spiniger
Lineage: Eukaryota; Metazoa; Arthropoda; Insecta; Psocodea; Boopidae
Description: tRNA-Val
Source: RNAcentral
AAGGCUAUAGUUUAUAUAUAAAACUUAUUAUUUACAUUAAUAAAAAUCCUAGGGAUGGCCUAA